GCUUUUUUUUUAGCCCUAACAAGGCACUAGUGAGUGAAGUGAUCUCCGUGCUUUGCCUGCUUUUCUUAUUGCUGUUCCCUCUCAGCUGUGCUUCAGAAGCUUCAGAAGCAGGGGAUAAGAAGCACGGGCGUGCACACUCAAAACCAGGAGACUAAUGUGCUGAAGCUGACCAGACGCUAGACAGAUGAAUACCUGAUCUACCUACAUUAUUCAUUGUCAUGCUUCCUGCAAAGCAAAGGAAAUCAACUAGAACAACAUGGUUGACCUCUGUUCCCUGGACCAGCAUUUAAGAUGAGGAGAGGAGGAGCCAUAUAAGGAUCCUUUUCUUUUCAGAAGGUGACAGAUUGAGUUCCUCAGCCAGCAAAGCAGGAAGUCAAAGCAAGCUUCUUCUUUUUUUUGCUUCAGUAGCUGAAGAAAGCAAAGCGUUGCCAGCCCGAAAGAGCAGUAAUUAUAGGCUCCAAUCCUGCUGGCCUUUGUGGAAAUUGACUGUUUCUCCUGGAUUUCGGCUUAGAUAUGGAACUCCAAUGCCCAUCCAUCUGUAGAGUCAAGCACGCAGAUCAGAUGGGGAGGUUUCAGAGAGGCUGAUACAGUAGCAGCUGUCCCAACUGAUUCCUAGAGCCAGGAACUUGAGCAGUGAUCCCAACAACCACCAGAGCCUUCAGGACACUGAUUCAUCGUUGGUAUAAUGGCAUGAUAGCAAAUGUAGCAAAACUCAGAUUGCCAAAAACUGUUCUCCUGAUGUUCAGUCUUUUGAAGAAGAAAUGGAUUCCAAAGGAUUCAGUUGAGGGUUGAUUCCAGCUCUUUCCCCACCCAUUUCUUAUAACUCUCUAGCACACUGGUAUCUACUUGUGAUUUUGCUAUCUCUUUGUUUUGAUCCUAUCUAGAAAGUUUCAUAAUGAUUUGUCAGAAUGUAAAGCUGGCUCCAAAAUAAAGAUUGCAAUUGGAGGAAUCCAGGUUAGAAUCAGGGUUAGAAUGUAAUUUCUAGAUGACUUAGGGGUGCCGUUGCAAGUCUCCCUCUAAGACAAAGGCAUAUUAAAAAAUGCAUAAUAUUCAUAUGCAAAUAAUAAAAACAAUAUGCAAACUGAUUUCCAACUACCCAACAGUUCUGUAAGUGAACUCCAGAUGGCAUCAGAUGAUUGUCCAUGCUCUGCUCUAAACAGGCUGCAUCUCAAUUUUUUUUUUAUUUCAUUUUGUCCCAACAGUAUACACAAACAUCAACAUAAGA
This is a long non-coding RNA of Ahaetulla prasina, 1225 nucleotides long. RefSeq lists it as uncharacterized. Lineage: Eukaryota; Metazoa; Chordata; Lepidosauria; Squamata; Colubridae. The record is from RefSeq and is a predicted model, not a curated record. The transcript is spliced from 6 exons.